AUUGAACGCUGGCGGCAGGCCUAACACAUGCAAGUCGAGCGGAUUUUGGGGGCUUGCUCCCAAGGUUAGCGGCGGACGGGUGAGUAACGCGUAGGAAUUUGCCCAGUAGUGGGGGAUAACGUUCCGAAAGGAACGCUAAUACCGCAUACGCCCCAUGGGGGAAAGCAGGGGAUCUUCGGACCUUGCGCUAUUGGAGAAGCCUGCGUCGGAUUAGCUAGUUGGUAGGGUAAAGGCCAACCAAGGCGACGAUCCGUAGCUGGUCUGAGAGGAUGAUCAGCCACACUGGAACUGAGACACGGCCCAGACUCCUACGGGAGGCAGCAGUGGGAAAUUUUUGACCCUGGGGGCAACCCUGAUCCAACAAUGCCGCGUGAGUGAAGAAGGCCUUCGGGUUGUAAAGCUCUUUUGUCAGGGAAGAAACACCGGCUCUAACACAGUCCGGGAAUGACGGUACCUGAAGAAUAAGCACCGGCUAACUACGUGCCAGCCGCCGCCGUAA
RNAcentral lists this ribosomal RNA (499 nucleotides) under uncultured bacterium. RNAcentral's name for it is "partial 16S ribosomal RNA". It matches the Rfam family "Bacterial small subunit ribosomal RNA", at positions 30 to 523 of the family's 1533-position model. The record is from RNAcentral.